Molecule: ribosomal RNA, 497 nt
Filed under: uncultured bacterium
Lineage: Bacteria
Description: partial 16S ribosomal RNA
Rfam family: Bacterial small subunit ribosomal RNA
Source: RNAcentral
GAUGAACGCUGGCGGCGUGCCUAAUACAUGCAAGUCGAGCGAACAGACGAGGAGCUUGCUCCUCUGACGUUAGCGGCGGACGGGUGAGUAACACGUGGAUAACCUACCUAUAAGACUGGGAUAACUUCGGGAAACCGGAGCUAAUACCGGAUAAUAUAUUGAACCGCAUGGUUCAAUAGUGAAAGACGGUUUUGCUGUCACUUAUAGAUGGAUCCGCGCCGCAUUAGCUAGUUGGUAAGGUAACGGCUUACCAAGGCGACGAUGCGUAGCCGACCUGAGAGGGUGAUAGGCCACACGGGAACUGAGACACGGUCCAGACUCCUACGGGAGGCAGCAGUAGGGAAUCGUCCGCAAUGGGCGAAAGCCUGACGGAGCAACGCCGCGUGAGUGAUGAAGGUCUUCGGAUCGUAAAACUCUGUUAUUAGGGAAGAACAAAUGUGUAAGUAACUAUGCACGUCUUGACGGUACCUAAUCAGAAAGCCACGGCUAACUACGUG